GUGGGGAAUCUUGCGCAAUGGGCGAAAGCCUGACGCAGCCAUGCCGCGUGAAUGAUGAAGGUCUUAGGAUUGUAAAAUUCUUUCACCGGGGACGAUAAUGGCGGUACCCGGAGAAGAAGCUCCGGCUAACUUCGUGCCAGCAGCCGCGGUAAUACGAAGGGGGCUAGCGUUGCUCGGAAUUACUGGGCGUAAAGGGCGCGUAGGCGGACAGCUUAGUCAGAGGUGAAAGCCCAGGGCUCAACCUUGGAAUUGCCUUUGAUACUGGCUGUCUUGAGUUUGGGAGAGGUGAGUGGAACUCCGAGUGUAGAGGUGAAAUUCGUAGAUAUUCGGAAGAACACCAGUGGCGAAGGCGACUCACUGGCCCAAUACUGACGCUGAGGCGCGAAAGCGUGGGGAGCAAACAGGAUUAGAUACCCCUGUAGUCC
This 425-nucleotide ribosomal RNA is filed under the name uncultured bacterium. Its description in RNAcentral is "partial 16S ribosomal RNA". It matches the Rfam family "Bacterial small subunit ribosomal RNA", at positions 354 to 796 of the family's 1533-position model. The record is from RNAcentral.